RNAcentral lists this non-coding RNA (31 nucleotides) under Mus musculus (house mouse). The record is from RNAcentral. Lineage: Eukaryota; Metazoa; Chordata; Mammalia; Rodentia; Muridae.
AGCUAGGGUGCCAUGGAAACUUCCAGACUGU